RNAcentral lists this ribosomal RNA (466 nucleotides) under uncultured bacterium. RNAcentral describes it as "partial 16S ribosomal RNA". It matches the Rfam family "Bacterial small subunit ribosomal RNA", at positions 28 to 507 of the family's 1533-position model. The record is from RNAcentral.
GAUGAACGCUGGCGGCGUGCUUAACACAUGCAAGUCGAACGAUGAAGCCCAGCUUGCUGGGUGGAUUAGUGGCAAACGGGUGAGUAACACGUGAGUAACCUGCCCUUAACUCUGGGAUAAGCCUGGGAAACUGGGUCUAAUACCGGAUAGGAGCGUCCACCGCAUGGUGGGUGUUGGAAAGAUUUAUCGGUUUUGGAUGGACUCGCGGCCUAUCAGCUUGUUGGUGAGGUAAUGGCUCACCAAGGCGACGACGGGUAGCCGGCCUGAGAGGGUGACCGGCCACACUGGGACUGAGACACGGCCCAGACUCCUACGGGAGGCAGCAGUGGGGAAUAUUGCACAAUGGGCGCAAGCCUGAUGCAGCGACGCCGCGUGGGGGAUGACGGCCUUCGGGUUGUAAACCUCUUUCAGUAGGGAAGAAGCGAAAGUGACGGUACCUGCAGAAGAAGCACCGGCUAACUACGUG